AGCAGUAGCCGCGGGAAUACGUAGGUGGCAAGCGUUGUCCGGAAUUAUUGGGCGUAAAGGGCUCGCAGGCGGUUUCUUAAGUCUGAUGUGAAAGCCCCCGGCUCAACCGGGGAGGGUCAUUGGAAACUGGGAAACUCGAGUGCAGAAGAGGAGAGUGGAAUUCCACGUGUAGCGGUGAAAUGCGUAGAGAUGUGGAGGAGCACCAGUGGCGAAGGCGACUCUCUGGUCUGUAACUGACGCUGAGGAGCGAAAGCGUGGGGAGCGAACAGGAUUAGAUACCCCCGUAGUCCCUGUCUCUUAUAC
RNAcentral lists this ribosomal RNA (303 nucleotides) under uncultured bacterium. RNAcentral describes it as "partial 16S ribosomal RNA". It matches the Rfam family "Bacterial small subunit ribosomal RNA", at positions 507 to 807 of the family's 1533-position model. The record is from RNAcentral.